Molecule: transfer RNA, 57 nt
Filed under: Cheiracanthium insigne
Lineage: Eukaryota; Metazoa; Arthropoda; Arachnida; Araneae; Cheiracanthiidae
Description: tRNA-Glu
Source: RNAcentral
AAUAUAGUAGUGUAAUCACAUCAUUAUUUCAUGAUGAAAAUGUAUUCCUUUUUAUCU